UGAAUACGAGACGCUACGGCGUCGAAGCAGUCUAUGUCAUACUUCCAAGAAAAGCUUGCACUGUCAUAAACAAAUAAUGCCUGUACCAUAACCGACACAGGUGGGUAGGUAGAGUAUACUAAGGGGCGCGAGAUAACUCUCUCUAAGGAACUCGGCAAAAUGACUCCGUAACUUCGGGAGAAGGAGUGCCUUAUUUAUAAGGUUGCAAUAACAAGAUCCAAGCAACUGUUUAUCAAAAACACAGGUCUCCGCUAAGUCGUAAGACGAUGUAUGGGGGCUGACGCCUGCCCAGUGCCAGAAGGUUAAAGAAGUCGGUUAGCAUUAGCGAAGCUGGUAACUGAAGCCCUGGUGAACGGCGGCCGUAACUAUAACGGUCCUAAGGUAGCGAAAUUCCUUGUCGGGUAAGUUCCGACCCGCACGAAAGGCGUAAUGAUUUGGAUUCUGUCUCGGAGAGGGGCUCGGUGAAAUAGACCUGUCUGUGAAGAUGCGGACUACCUGCACCUGGACAGAAAGACCCUAUGAAGCUUUACUGUAACUUGAAAUUGAAAUUGGACUUUAUUUGCGCAGUAUAGGUGGGAGGCGUUGAAAAUAUUCUUGCGGGAAUAUUGGAGCCAUCAGUGAGAUACCACUCUUGUAAUGUUAGAUUUCUAACUUUGUAUCAUUAUCUGGUCAAAGAACAGUUUCAGGCGGGCAGUUUGACUGGGGCGGUCGCCUCCUAAACGGUAACGGAGGCGCACAAAGGUUUCCUCUGAACGGGUAGAAAUCGUAUCUAGAGUGUAAAGGCAUAAGGAAGCUUGACUGUGAGACCUACAAGUCGAGCAGGGACGAAAGUCGGUCUUAGUGAUCUGACGGUGCUGAGUGGAAAGGCCGUCACUCAACGGAUAAAAGUUACUCUAGGAUAACAGGCUGAUCUCCCCCAAGAGUUCACAUCGACGGGGAGGUUUGGCACCUCGAUGUCGGCUCAUCGCAUCCUGGGGCGGUAGUACGUCCCAAGGGUUGGGCUGUUCGCCCAUGAAAGCGGUACGCGAGCUGGGUUCAGAACGUCGUGAGACAGUUCGGUCCAUAUCCGGUGUAGGCGUUAGAAUAUUGAGAGGAGCCUUCUUUAGUACGAGAGGACCGAGAAGGACAUACCUCUGGUGUACCAGUUAUCGUGCCAACGGUAAACGCUGGGUAGCCAUGUAUGGAGAGGAUAACCGCUGAAAGCAUCUAAGUGGGAAGCCCACCUCAAGAUAAGUAUUCUC
Molecule: ribosomal RNA, 1241 nt
Filed under: metagenome
Description: bacterial LSU rRNA
Rfam family: Bacterial large subunit ribosomal RNA
Source: RNAcentral